Non-coding RNA from Globicephala melas (long-finned pilot whale), 4850 nucleotides. Lineage: Eukaryota; Metazoa; Chordata; Mammalia; Artiodactyla; Delphinidae. The record is from RefSeq and is a predicted model, not a curated record.
GCGUCAUUGGGACUUUCAUCUUCUAGGUACCAUGUUGUCCAGCUGGAGCUGAGAGGAGAACCCUGGGUACAUGACAGAGUGGACAUGACUCCAGACAGAGCAAGAGGGGCUCAAAUAUGGCCCGGCCCUGGGGACAAGGCAGCCAAGCCGGGAGCUAGAAGAAGUCUCAGAUCCACCUUCCCGGAGGCGAUGUGCUUGAGAUAUUUAAGGUUUCGGAAACAUCUGAAAUAUUAUGGCUGUCUCUCUGGGACCAGCGAAGACUACAUUCCAUGGAAAUCUGGGUUCGUCUCCUUUAAGAAGCGUGAAACUCCGCCCCCGUCCUCAGAGCCUCCAGGACACUCUUUCCCAGGAUCCCGGGCAGUGAGGCGGGGCUUUUCCUGUAGGCGGGGAGCACCACCCCUUGACAGGUUCUAGAGGCCUGUGAACUGCAUUACCCGGAAAAAAACUACGCCAGUUCGUGGGCGCCCCUGGGCCAAUGAAGGCUCAGGAAAGAGUCACUUCCGUUCUAGAGGACGGAGUCUGGGCGGCAUUUCCGGCGUCGACUGAGGUCGUUAUUUUGUAAACUCGGCUGUGUUCACAGGCGGGGAACUUCGCAACGCUGUGAAGGCCAGAGGUCAGGGAGCCAGGAAAGCGCCGUGCCCGCUUCUCUGAGCUUCGUCUGAGGCUCGGCGUGGGCGCUAUCCGGCCUGACUCUGUCGGGCGGUUGGUGCCGCAGUGCCCGGGCCCCACCUUCACCCACAAACUCCGCUGGCGCCGGCGCAGAUGUGUCUGAUUCAGGUCUUAGUUGCAGCACACAGGAUCUUUCGUUGAAGCACAUGGGCUCAGUUGCCCCACCACAGUAUGUGGGAUCCAACCUGCAUCCCCUGCAUUGGAAGGCAGAUUUUUAAUCACUGGACCACCAGGGAAGUUCCUGAAUAAUACUUAUUUUAGUGGAAAAUCAUAAAUGAUUAAGCUAUCUUGUUAAAAUACUUGUUUUAAGGGUGAUAAAAUGAAUCAUUGUAAGUGUAAAAAGUGAUAAUGCUUUGUCAUUAUCACUUUUUGUCAUUGUAAGUGACAUUGUAAGUGUAAAAAGUGAUAAUGCAAGAUGUUAAGAACUCAAUAAGGUAUUUCUGUGUUUCUACAAUGCAGAUGGACUAGAGGUCAAGUCCUAUAGCUUGUUGCAGUUCUCUUAAGUUUAAAGAGUCAGCAAUGAUGCCCAGUUAUCCCCAAGUGCUGGAGGCCAAGCACUUUGAUUCUGGCAAGAAUCCCUUUUCCAGAGAGUCAUAUUCAGUGUGAAUUCAGUAAAUUGUGGUUCAUGAUCUCUACCCCUGGAGAAGAAAUCUAGUAGGAAAUUACAGAUAGUCUCUCUGAACAGGUAUGGGGGAAAAAAAUGGAUAUAUCAAAGAAUAUGGUGGAUAAGUAUAAAAAGUAUAUAUUCUUGAAUCCUAUUAUGUAAUGUUAGCAUAAUUCCAAAUCAGAAUUUAAUCUAUGGAUUAUGUAAGGUGGAGAUUUUUAUAAAGUAAUAAUUUUUAAUAUAACCAAAGUAAAAUUUGAAAAGAACCAUUUCCUCUCCAACACAAUCCCUUAUUCUUCUGGCUCAAUGGGCUCCAGUCACACUAGCCUUGUGGAUGCUGUUCAUACACACCAGACAUGACUCUGAUAGAGAGGCUUUGCACUUUUUUGUCCCACUUCUGGACAGCCUUUUCUCAAGGUAUCCACAUGACCUUAUGGCACAACUCUAUAACAUUUUCUGCCCUCUUUUACAUGCUUUAUUUUUCUCUUGAGUAUUUGUCUUUGCCUGAAAUAUUAAAUGGUUCGCUCAGCAGAACCAUUUAUGGCCCCUGCACUGGUGUCAGGUGUCUUCAUGGACUUGGUGUCUGUAGAUCCUAGGUUUUAUGGACAGAUUCCCAUUUUUGGCAGCCAGCGGACUGAGACAUGAAAGGUUGUCUUAGUAAUGGGGCUAGUAUAUACAAAUGCUUGAGGAUGUGAUUGUGAUGGGAGUGCUCUAGGACAUGUAGGUCUGUUAACAACUGAUAAGGACAGAGAGCAAGAGGGGCAGAAUUAGAAUGGUAGCAUGAGGUUUCUGUUCUGAGAAUGAUGGUAGACAUGUAAUGUAUGAGGAGGUUCAGUGAGUAAUAUGCAUGUGAGGAAAGUGUGUGAAGUAAUUGCCCCAAGCCCUAGUACUAGAAGUAUAAGAGAGAAGGAUGGGGCUAAGUUUGCUUGUAUCUGGGAGACAUGAUAGUGAGUACACUCAGGCUGUUGUCUUGGAGGAAAGGGAAAGGGCCCUGCAUACCAGGCUCACAGAUUACAUGGUAUCUCUCUGUCCACCUGCCUGUUGUUGCUCAGGGUCAUACAUACUGAUAAAGGAAGCAUGAAGAGUUAUUGGGCCCACUGCCCUCUAAGUCACGGAGCUGGGGUGGAUGAUGAACCCAGAGUAUGGGCUGGGUUUAGAAGUACUUAUGGGGUCCUGGGGAGAGAGGCUGCUUAUGUACAAAUCUGUCCCAUCAUCACAGGGCCCUGUGACUUUUGAGGACGUGGCUGGGUACUUUUCCCAGGAGGAAUGGAAGCUUCUUGAUGAGGCCCAGAGAUUCCUGUGCCGUGAUGUGAUCCUGGAGCCCUUUGCACUUGUUGCAUCAUUGGUUUGUUGGCAUGGAGCAGAGCACAAGGAGAUAAUUUCUGAGCAGAAUGUUUCUGUAGAAGUGCCAUGAAUAAAUACUUCAGAGACCUGUCCAUCCAAAGUCCUGUCCCUGGAAGAUGUGUAGCCUGGCCUUAAACAUCUGCAGGUACAACCUCCGGAGAGAGCACUAAGCGCGCCCGCCCGGCAAGACCGGAAUGAUCCCGCCAGCCCCGCCGACCUCCCGGAACUCUGCCUCGGGCAUCGCGGCCGAAUCCCAUCCCCUGCAGACGUCGCCCGAGCUCCGGACGGGAAGGGACAAAAUAAACGUGACCGCCAGAUGGCGCCCGACAACCGGCGGGAACAUUAGCGGGACGGAUCCGGAUCGCUGGCCGGCGAGGGCGCACUGCCGGCCGCCCGGAUGCCCGACCUCGUUACGUCCCGGCCCACCUCCGAGCUGGUCUCAUGGCCACGGGUUACAAACUCCCAGCUAUAGCAUGUGUGUUUUUGCUUCCUGCCCACUAGUGGAAGUCACUACCUAGUUCUUCCCGCCACUGUGGUCAUAAAGGCACAGCCCCAACUCCUCUCUGCUUCCUGACACCUCCACGUGACAGGCUUCAUGUGGUCUUACGUGUCCUGCUGUGCCUGUCGUUUCCUUGGGGAACUUUCAACGGCAGUAGCCUCUCCUGUCCUCACUCAGUCACCUCCAUAAAUUAAAAUCCCGGGAGCACAUUUUUACACAGUUGUAAAACUGACAAGAGGAUUAUUUAGCUUUUCGAAAGUUUUAUGUACGUCUCAAAGGGACAGAGAAAGAAUUCAGAAUUAGAAGUUUGCUAACGGAAAUGCUCUAAGAAAAGAGAUUGGAGGAGAUUCAUGGCACAAAGCUCCAAAUACCCAACAUUCCGAAAAGGUUACAGUGAAUCCCAGUGAACAAGAUAACACACUGUGAGCAAACAACCCAGUGCCUGCUUGCUUGCAGAUUUUGGCAACCUACAGUAACAUUUUCCAAGCCGGUCCUUUCUUGAAUAUGCAUGCCCCCCAGGCUUAAUACUUCAGUCCAGUGCUUUGAGAGCUAUCUCCCUGUCUCCUUACUUGUCACAAGUAAUAAAUGCUUCUGCUUUAACUGAAAGUACUUGGUGUGUUCACUGGCUAUGCACCCCAAGGCAAGGACCCACUGAGUCCGGUAACAAUAAUGAUACACCACAGCACAACUUGGAGGCCCGUGCACAGGCAUCCUGGGGACACUGUGAUGAGGUCUGCAUGCUGACACCCCUCAACAAGCCUACGCACACACAUGCAUUACACCACGUCCACAACAGAAAAGACAUGUGAUAGUCAUGAGACACACAACCAGUGUAUGUGGCACACAUUAGAGGCUUGUGGGAAUAGAGAGAGGUGCUGAACUACCACACCAGGUAUGAGGACACAAAUGCACAAAUGCUCCAGGGAGACUUGUGAGACAAGCAUGGGAUAGGGAGGCCCAAAAGCCUAGUGUGUGGAUAUACACACAGGAUCACACAAUCAUGCACGUGGACCGAGUGUGACAGGUGGUUUCAACCUGGCUGGGACAUAACCCCUGCUCUUCCCCAUCCUAGCACCAUACCUGUAGGUUUGAUGAUGUGCUGAUGGCAGCCAGAACAGGAGCUGGGUGCUCAUCUUGCCACAACCUGCAGUCUCACACGUUUGAAGACCGAAUGUAAACACUAAAGGUCACGUGAUGGAAGCAAAUCAGCCCAAGCCCUGGUAGCAGAAAACUAUAUCCGAAAUGCCUGCUAACAAGGCCCAGGAAUCACAGUCUGAAGGGGACAGAGUUGGGGGAGGUUAUGGUCUCUACUGGAGGGUCCGUAUGCGUUGAGGAAGUUUCAGGGACAGCGGAUCAAGGAUGGUUUGGCAAAGGGAGGAAUUAUUUCCCUGGAUUGUUAGCCAUUGUUUGGGAAGUUUGUAUUUUACCCAGAAGGGUGAGGAUGAUCAUGUAGCUGUGUUGUCAUCCCAGGUGAGUCCUAAGUCUUUCCUCUUCCUGGUGUUUCUUGAAGUCUUUACUCCUGAGUAGACGGGCGUUUCUAAUUUUCUAUGUGCUGAACUGCAACUACAACAAAGACAAUAAAACACAUAGCUAAGUUAAAUUCAGAGAAACAAACAUAGAAAAGAAAGCUCAUUGCUUAAUUUUAUAAAAGUUUCUUGGCCGUCUGGCAGAUCUCUCAUUUCAACAGCAUUUGGACUGAACAGACCCAGGGGCGCCCCUUCCUCCUGACUCUGA